This 159-nucleotide signal recognition particle RNA is filed under the name Chlorocebus sabaeus (green monkey). RNAcentral describes it as "Metazoan signal recognition particle RNA". It matches the Rfam family "Metazoan signal recognition particle RNA". From Rfam's summary of the family: The signal recognition particle (SRP) is a universally conserved ribonucleoprotein. The record is from Rfam by way of RNAcentral. Lineage: Eukaryota; Metazoa; Chordata; Mammalia; Primates; Cercopithecidae.
GUUGGGUGCAGUGGUGUGUACCUGUAGUCCCAGCUACUUGGGAAGCUGAGACAGGAGAAUCACUUAAGCCCAGGAGUUUGAGGCUAUAGUACACUAUAAUCGUGUUUGUGAAUAGCCACUAUACUCUAACCUGGGCAACAUAGUGAGACCCCAUCUCUA